Molecule: ribosomal RNA, 530 nt
Filed under: uncultured bacterium
Lineage: Bacteria
Description: bacterial SSU rRNA
Rfam family: Bacterial small subunit ribosomal RNA
Source: RNAcentral
AAUAGAUACCCCCGGUAGUCCACGCCGUAAACGAUGAGUGCUAAGUGUUAGAGGGUUUCCGCCCUUUAGUGCUGCAGCUAACGCAUUAAGCACUCCGCCUGGGGAGUACGGCCGCAAGGCUGAAACUCAAAGGAAUUGACGGGGGCCCGCACAAGCGGUGGAGCAUGUGGUUUAAUUCGAAGCAACGCGAAGAACCUUACUAGGUCUUGACAUCCUCUGCCAACCCUAGAGAUAGGGCGUUCCCCUUCGGGGGACAGAGUGACAGGUGGUGCAUGGUUGUCGUCAGCUCGUGUCGUGAGAUGUUGGGUUAAGUCCCGCAACGAGCGCAACCCUUGAUCUUAGUUGCCAGCAUUCAGUUGGGCACUCUAAGGUGACUGCCGGUGACAAACCGGAGGAAGGUGGGGAUGACGUCAAAUCAUCAUGCCCCUUAUGACCUGGGCUACACACGUGCUACAAUGGAUAGUACAAAGAGCUGCGAACCCGCGAGGGUAAGCGAAUCUCAUAAAGCCAUUCUCAGUUCGGAUUGUAGG